GCUCUACUGAGGAGUCCCACAAUAGGACAAAACGGCCGUCUAGUGC
This is a non-coding RNA of Schistosoma margrebowiei, 46 nucleotides long. Lineage: Eukaryota; Metazoa; Platyhelminthes; Trematoda; Strigeidida; Schistosomatidae. The record is from Rfam.